RNAcentral lists this ribosomal RNA (548 nucleotides) under uncultured Glomeromycotina. RNAcentral's name for it is "SSU rRNA". It matches the Rfam family "Eukaryotic small subunit ribosomal RNA", at positions 548 to 1095 of the family's 1831-position model. Lineage: Eukaryota; Fungi; Glomeromycota. The record is from RNAcentral.
UUGGAGGGCAAGUCUGGUGCCAGCAGCCGCGGUAAUUCCAGCUCCAAUAGCGUAUAUUAAAGUUGUUGCAGUUAAAAAGCUCGUAGUUGAACUUCGGGGUUUACCCAUUGGUCAGGCUUAAUUGUCUGUACUGGUGAGAUAAAUCUCUACCUUCUGAGGAACUUUCAUGUCAUUAAUUUGGUGUGAUUGGAAAUCAGGACUGUUACUUUGAAAAAAUUAGAGUGUUUAAAGCAGGCUAACGUCUGAAUACAUUAGCAUGGAAUAAUGAAAUAGGACGGACUGAUUCUAUUUCGUUGGUUUCUAGGAUCACCGUAAUGAUUAAUAGGGAUAGUUGGGGGCAUUAGUAUUCAAUUGUCAGAGGUGAAAUUCUUGGAUUUAUUGAAGACUAACUACUGCGAAAGCAUUUGCCAAGGAUGUUUUCAUUAAUCAAGAACGAAAGUUAGGGGAUCGAAGACGAUCAGAUACCGUCGUAGUCUUAACCAUAAACUAUGCCGACUAGGGAUCGGACGAAGUUAAUUUUAUAAUGACGCGUUCGGCGCCUUACGGGA